RNAcentral lists this ribosomal RNA (209 nucleotides) under uncultured bacterium. Its description in RNAcentral is "partial 16S ribosomal RNA". It matches the Rfam family "Bacterial small subunit ribosomal RNA", at positions 568 to 774 of the family's 1533-position model. The record is from RNAcentral.
UGUGUAGGCGGUUUGAUAAGUUGGAUGUGAAAGCUCCUGGCUUAACUGGGAGAGGUCGUUCAAAACUAUCAGACUUGAGAGUGGUAGAGGGAGGUGGAAUUCCGGGUGUAGUGGUGAAAUGCGUAGAUAUCCGGAGGAACACCAGUGGCGAAAGCGGCCUCCUGGCCCAUUUCUGACGCUCAGACACGAAAGCUAAGGUAAGGCAAACG